This 454-nucleotide ribosomal RNA is filed under the name uncultured bacterium. RNAcentral's name for it is "bacterial SSU rRNA". It matches the Rfam family "Bacterial small subunit ribosomal RNA", at positions 28 to 507 of the family's 1533-position model. The record is from RNAcentral.
GGUGAACGCUGGCGGCGUGCCUAACACAUGCAAGUCGAGCGGUACAGUUUGAAGCUUCGGUGGAGAGCCGUAUAGCGGCGGACGGGUGAGUAAAGCGUAGGAACGUGCCCCUCGGAGUUGGAUAGCCAUGGGAAACUGUGGGUAAACCGACAUAGACUCGGGAGAGUAAAGGCCGAAAGGCGCCGAGGGAGCGGUCUGCGUCCCAUCAGGUAGUUGGUAGGGUAAAGGCCUACCAAGCCGACGACGGGUAACCGGUCUGAGAGGAUGGCCGGUCACAAGGGCACUGAGAGACGGGCCCUACUCCUACGGGAGGCAGCAGUGGGGAAUAUUGCACAAUGGGCGAAAGCCUGAUGCAGCAACGCCGCGUGAGCGAAGAAGGCCUUUGGGUCGUAAAGCUCUGUCGGGUAGGAAGAUAAUGACGGUACUACCCGAGGAAGCCCCGGCUAACUACGUG